ACUACGGGAGGCAGCAGUCGGGAAUAUUGCGCAAUGGAGGAAACUCUGACGCAGUGACGCCGCGUGCAGGAAGAAGGUUUUCGGAUUGUAAACUGCUUUAGACAGGGAAGAAAAGAGACAGUACCAGUAGAAUAAGCUCCGGCUAAAUACGUACAAGCAGCCGCGGUAAUACGUAGGGAGCAAGCGUUAUCAGGAUUUAUUGGGUGUAAAGGGUGCGUAGAUGGAGAAGCAAGUUAGUUGUGAAAUCCCUCGGCGUAACCGAGGAACUGCAACUAAAACUACUGCCCUUGAGUACGGGAGAGGAAAGUGGAAUUCCUGGUGUAGCGGUGAAAUGCGUAGAGAUUAGGAGGAACACCAGUGGCGAAGGCGACUUUCUGGACAGUAACUGACGUUGAGGCACGAAAGCGUGGGGAGCAAACAGGAUUAGAUACCCUUGUAGUC
Molecule: ribosomal RNA, 441 nt
Filed under: uncultured bacterium
Lineage: Bacteria
Description: partial 16S ribosomal RNA
Rfam family: Bacterial small subunit ribosomal RNA
Source: RNAcentral